UACGUAGGGCGCAAGCGUUGUCCGGAAUUAUUGGGCGUAAAGCGCGUGUAGGCGGCUUUGCAAGUCGGGUGUGAAAGCCCUCAGCUCAACUGAGGAAGUGCGCCCGAAACUGCAGAGCUUGAGUGCCGGAGAGGGUGGCGGAAUUCCCCAAGUAGAGGUGAAAUUCGUAGAUAUGGGGAGGAACACCGGUGGCGAAGGCGGCCACCUGGACGGUAACUGACGCUGAGACGCGAAAGCGUGGGGAGCAAACAGG
Molecule: ribosomal RNA, 253 nt
Filed under: uncultured bacterium
Lineage: Bacteria
Description: partial 16S ribosomal RNA
Rfam family: Bacterial small subunit ribosomal RNA
Source: RNAcentral